AGGGCCUGGUGCAGCAUAAAUAUCAUUCUGAACUUAUGGAGCUACGAGUCUGGAAUGGAACUGGAAUCCAUUUAAGAGUGAAAGCAUCCAGCAUCUGGCUGAGUAUUCCUUGGCGUAAGCUUAUCAUCAUAAUAUCCAAAGUUCUCCUGAGGCUAGUUGACUUUUGCCAACUAAUUUAAGCUGAGGGUUCAGUGAGCGCUCUUAAGAGGUUUCCUUCAGCCGAACCCUCGAAUCCACC
RNAcentral lists this long non-coding RNA (238 nucleotides) under Drosophila guanche. Lineage: Eukaryota; Metazoa; Arthropoda; Insecta; Diptera; Drosophilidae. The record is from RNAcentral.